This 188-nucleotide small nuclear RNA is filed under the name Salmo salar (Atlantic salmon). RNAcentral's name for it is "U2 spliceosomal RNA (ENSSSAG00000105553.1)". It matches the Rfam family "U2 spliceosomal RNA". Rfam says of the family: U2 is a small nuclear RNA (snRNA) component of the spliceosome (involved in pre-mRNA splicing). Complementary binding between U2 snRNA (in an area lying towards the 5' end but 3' to hairpin I) and the branchpoint sequence (BPS) of the intron results the bulging out of an unpaired adenosine, on the BPS, which initiates a nucleophilic attack at the intronic 5' splice site, thus starting the first of two transesterification reactions that mediate splicing. Lineage: Eukaryota; Metazoa; Chordata; Actinopteri; Salmoniformes; Salmonidae. The record is from RNAcentral.
AUCGCUUCUCGGCCUUUUGGCUCAGAUCAAGUGUAGUAUCUGUUCUUAUCAGUUUAAUAUCCGAUACGUCCCCAUCGGGGACUACAUAUUAAAUGGAUUUUUCGAACAGGGAGUCGGAAAUGGGGCUUGCUCCGUCCGCUCCACGAUCGACCCGGUAUUGCAGUACCUCCGGGAAUGGUGCAACACUU